UUUACACACCCUUUGUAUGUCUUAAGAAUGUCUACUCGAUGUAAUAAAACGCAUCUAAUACAACUUUCAACAACGGAUCUCUUGGCUCUCGCAUCGAUGAAGAACGCAGCGAAAUGCGAUAAGUAAUGUGAAUUGCAGAAUUCAGUGAAUCAUCGAAUCUUUGAACGCACCUUGCGCCCUUUGGUAUUCCGAAGGGCACACCUGUUUGAGUGUCGUGAAAUUCUCAACCCUCUUCAUUUUUUUUAAAGUGAACGUAGUGGAUUGGACUUGGAGGUUUUGCCGGGCUUCACCGCUCGGCUCCUCUCAAAUGCAUUAGUGCGUCUUGUUGCGACGUGCGCCUCGGUGUGAUAAUUAUCUACGCUGUGGUGCGCUUGCUUCUGUGGAGACGCGCUUUCUAACCGUCCGAAAGGACAGCUUUCAUCGAACUUUGACCUCAAGUCAGGUGGGACUACCCGCUGAACUUAAGAAAA
This 470-nucleotide ribosomal RNA is filed under the name Stereum hirsutum. Its description in RNAcentral is "eukaryotic LSU rRNA". The stretch from base 62 to 215 matches the Rfam family "5.8S ribosomal RNA". The record is from RNAcentral. Lineage: Eukaryota; Fungi; Basidiomycota; Agaricomycetes; Russulales; Stereaceae.